GCCCUAGUAACGGCGAGUGAAGCGGCAACAGCUCAAAUUUGAAAUCUGGCCUUCGGGUCCGAGUUGUAAUUUGUAGAGGAUGCUUUUGGUGCGGUGCCUUCCGAGUUCCCUGGAACGGGACGCCAUAGAGGGUGAGAGCCCCGUCUGGUUGGAUACCAAUCCUCUGUAAAGCUCCUUCGACGAGUCGAGUAGUUUGGGAAUGCUGCUCUAAAUGGGAGGUAUAUGUCUUCUAAAGCUAAAUACCGGCCAGAGACCGAUAGCGCACAAGUAGAGUGAUCGAAAGAUGAAAAGCACUUUGAAAAGAGGGUUAAACAGUACGUGAAAUUGUUGAAAGGGAAGCGCUUGUGACCAGACUUGGGCAUGGUUAAUCAUCCAGCGUUCUCGCUGGUGCACUUGGCCUGCCCAGGCCAGCAUCAGUUCGGUGCGGGGGAUAAAGGCUUCGGGAAUGUGGCUCCUCCGGGAGUGUUAUAGCCCGUUGUGCAAUACCCUGCGCUGGACUGAGGUUCGCGCAUCUGCAUGGAUGCUGGCGUAAUGGUCAUCAGCGA
RNAcentral lists this ribosomal RNA (545 nucleotides) under Xenoacremonium sp. RNAcentral describes it as "LSU rRNA". It matches the Rfam family "Eukaryotic large subunit ribosomal RNA", at positions 77 to 647 of the family's 3401-position model. The record is from RNAcentral. Lineage: Eukaryota; Fungi; Ascomycota; Sordariomycetes; Hypocreales; Nectriaceae.